AUGACUCAGCAGCCAUGGACGCCACAUCUGCCUGGGAAUGUGGCCGCAACAGAUUGGUAUUUGUUGGAUGGCAACUCUAAGCUGCAUGUUCAUUGGGAGAAUCAUGAUGAAUCUUUGAUGAACACUGUCAAAGAUGAAAAGGCGAAUUCUUCGAUUCCCCGGGCUGUCAGGGAUUUUGUACUUCCAGCAGGUUUUCUAGGUGAAUGUUGGCAUCCCCGUGUGGUUUGGUUAUGCAUCGAUGCAUUGCUUUUGCUCUUUGUCAUGGAGUACUAA
Molecule: ribosomal RNA, 273 nt
Filed under: Triticum aestivum (bread wheat)
Lineage: Eukaryota; Viridiplantae; Streptophyta; Magnoliopsida; Poales; Poaceae
Description: partial small subunit ribosomal RNA
Source: RNAcentral